Molecule: long non-coding RNA, 661 nt
Organism: Oncorhynchus tshawytscha (Chinook salmon)
Lineage: Eukaryota; Metazoa; Chordata; Actinopteri; Salmoniformes; Salmonidae
Source: Ensembl
GAACAGAGCAGACAGACAGACAAACCAUCAGGAGAACAGAGCAGACAGACAGACCAUCAGCAGAACAGAGCAGACAGACAGACCAUCAGGAGAACAGAGCAGACAGACAGACAAACCAUCAGGAGAACAGAGCAGACAGAUAGACCAUCAGGAGAAAAGAACAGUCAGACAGACAAACCAUCAGGAGAACAGAGCAGUCAGACAGACCAUCAGGAGAACAGGUUGGAGGAAGAGAAGAGAAUGGAGGAGGGAAUGGAGGAGAGGAAGAGAGAAGAGGUUGGUGGAGAAGGAGAGGAAGAGAGAAGAGGUUGGUGGAGGAGGAGAGGAAGAGAGAAGAGGAUGGGGGAGGAGGAGAAGAAGAGAGAAGAGGUUGGUGGAGGAAGAUUUCAUUUAUUUAUUCCCAGUUUAUUACCCAAGGCAUUUCCUGUUGUGGCAUGACGAACUCAUCAUUACCCACAUCAUCAGGCCCAUUGUGUUGUGAGAACCUGGACAAAGCAGCGUUUAACAGGAAGUAAAUACCUGGUCAAUGGUCGUUAAGGGGCUCGCUUGUUAAGGGCUGAUUAGGGGAGAGAUUCCCCCUGGGUAAACUGCUGGGAACAGGUGCUUAUAAACAAACAAGAGGAGACUGGAUAGAAGCUGUGUGUGUGUGUGUGUGUGUGUG